Triticum urartu is the source of this 137-nucleotide non-coding RNA. Lineage: Eukaryota; Viridiplantae; Streptophyta; Magnoliopsida; Poales; Poaceae. The record is from Rfam.
UAUAUAUUAUCUCCGUCCCAAACUAGUUGUCUUUGAUGUGUCAAGAUACGGAUGUACCUAUAACACUAAAGCGUGUCUAGAUAUAUCUGUAUCUAGAUAAAUCUAAGACAACUAAUUCGGAACGGAGGGAGUACAUG